ACUUUAAUAAUUUAAAUAAAAUAAUGGUCUUGUAAACCAUAUAUAAGUAUUAUACUUUUAAAGUA
This 65-nucleotide transfer RNA is filed under the name unidentified. RNAcentral's name for it is "Cryptocephalus dimidiatipennis tRNA-Thr". The record is from RNAcentral.